ACGGAAGGCAGCAGUGGGGAAUAUUGCACAAUGGGCGCAAGCCUGAUGCAGCGAUGCCGCGUGAGGGAAGAAGGUUUUCGGAUUGUAAACCUCUGUCAACAGGGACGAAAAUGACGGUACCUGUGAAGGAAGCUCCGGCUAACUACGUGCCAGCAGCCGCGGUAAUACGUAGGGAGCAAGCGUUGUCCGGAUUUACUGGGUGUAAAGGGAGCGUAGACGGCAAGGCAAGUCUGAUGUGAAAACCCGGGGCUCAACCUCGGGACUGCAUUGGAAACUGUCUGGCUAGAGUGCAGGAAAGGUAAGUGGAAUUCCUAGUGUAGCGGUGAAAUGCGUAGAUAUUAAGAGGAACACCAGUGGCGAAGGCGGCUUACUGGACUGUAACUGACGUUGAGGCUCGAAAGCGUGGGUAGCAAACAGGAUUAGAUACCCUGGUA
RNAcentral lists this ribosomal RNA (434 nucleotides) under uncultured Clostridium sp. Its description in RNAcentral is "partial 16S ribosomal RNA". It matches the Rfam family "Bacterial small subunit ribosomal RNA", at positions 341 to 792 of the family's 1533-position model. The record is from RNAcentral. Lineage: Bacteria; Bacillati; Bacillota; Clostridia; Eubacteriales; Clostridiaceae.